Long non-coding RNA from Gossypium arboreum, 888 nucleotides. RefSeq lists it as uncharacterized. The transcript is spliced from 2 exons. The record is from RefSeq and is a predicted model, not a curated record. Lineage: Eukaryota; Viridiplantae; Streptophyta; Magnoliopsida; Malvales; Malvaceae.
AAUAAAGUUUACGAGGAAUAAGCUCGAUUGCUAAUAUUUUAUAUCGAGGUAAGUUCAUAUGAUUUUUAAUAAUGCAAUGUGUAAUUUAAUGUUUUGAAAUGAAAAUUUCAUGAAUGAUAUAGUAUAUUAUUGCAUAUAAAAUGUCAUUAAACUGUGAUAAUUGUAAAAUGAUAUUUGAAUAAAAGUACAAAUUAAAUGGAACAACGGACUUGAGUACUUUCAUUCAGUGGCUAAGACGAAUUGACGGAAAAGACCAUGGUUGGACCAUGGCAGCAUGUGAAAUGUGAUUUCCGUAUAAGACCAUAGCUGGGCUAUGGCUUCGGAGAAAUGUGAUAUGUGCUUCCGUAUAAGACCAUAUCCGGGAUAUGGCAUCGGUGUGAUAUGUGCUACUGUAUAUCUGGGAUAUGGCAUCAGUGUGAUAUGUGAUCCGUGUAAGACCAUGGCUGGGCUAUUGCCUCGGUAUGUGAUAUAUGACUAUGUGCAAGACCAUAGUUUUACUAUGGCAUUGUGAUAAUGAGUUUUAAUAAGCCAGCUAGGAAAUCGGGAACGGUCGGAGGCCCACUCACACUAUCCGUAUACCAUCUUGGCGUAAUGGCUUGUAUAUUUUGAGUAUGGAUGUAUAGCAUUAUAAUCAUUUUGUAUAUAUGGUCUUAUGAUAUGGAUAUUGAGUGGUAUGGAAAUGUUUGGUAAUGAUUAGCCAUUGGAAUGGCUAAUCAUGAUCAUAUUUGGUGUUAUAUAUGCUAAAUUGCUAGCUAAUCCAUGGAAACCAUGAAAUAGGCAAAAUUUACCAUAAAAUAGAUCCAGAUAGCAGCAGUGAUGUGAGUUUGAAAAAUCAUUAAAAAUAGUAGAGAUACAAUUAGAUGAUGAAUAAAAUAUGGAAUUGAAGAA